This 1436-nucleotide long non-coding RNA is filed under the name Helianthus annuus (common sunflower). RNAcentral describes it as "hypothetical non coding rna". Lineage: Eukaryota; Viridiplantae; Streptophyta; Magnoliopsida; Asterales; Asteraceae. The record is from RNAcentral.
AUGAUCAUGUUAUCACAGCUCAUGCUAGCUGUCAUGCUAAUGCUUUCACUAAUAUUCAUUCGGGACAUGGGUAAGUACAUUGAAAAUCUCUUUUCCAUCUCAAAGCUUAUAAUUUAGUUAAGUGCUAGCAUUCAGUAUAUAUUUAUCUCUAUAUCUUGUUCACCUUUAAAAUUCUUCAUAUAUCUCAUUCUUCGUAUUAAAAUAUUAAUUCUUAUUUUUAAUAUUAAUAUUUUCACGAAUAUUCAUUCGGGACAUGGGUUAAGAGCAUUCUAAAUCACUUUUUUAUCUUAAUCCUUAUACUAUAGUUAAAUGGAUUUUUCUAUCUUAAUCCUUAUACUUUAGUUAAGAAAUAUAUUUAGUCCACCUUCAUAAUUCUUUUUAUAUCUCACUCAUCGUAUAAUUUUCUAUUCACUUAAAUAAUAAUUCUUUGUUUUUUAUGUUAACUAGUUUAUUUUUUUGCGCGUUGCGGAGGUACGUUAUUAUGGGCAUUUGAUCGAUAUCAGUUGGAUUCGUUACAGUACUAGUACGAUAUACGCACUCGGUAUACCGGUACGAUAUACGCACUCAGUAUAGAAAUCAACACGCAUUAUACAUCGACCGAACCGUAAAAAAUGAACAGCGGUACCGGCAGGCGGUAGCGGUGUUAGGAAACUUUAUUUGUAAGUAUUGAAGAAAAUCUCAAUCAACUGGAUCUCUGAAGAAGAUAACAGUCCUGAAGAACACAGCAAGAUGAAGAAAAACAGUUGGGACAACUGAAAAGGAAAGUAUCUACUACAAAGAAUCUCAAGUUGAUAAAGAGUUGAUUUGUAUUAUCAGAGAAGGUCGUUUCUGAUGGAUCUGAUGAUAUUUCUGAUGAAAUAUCAUCAGUUUCUGACAAAUUCUGAUCAUCAAACUUUCUGAUGAUUUGUUCACCAGAAUUUCUGAUGAAGUGGCUUAUCAGAAAUUCUGAUGAAAGACCCACUUGUCUAAAAUCACAACUCUAUCCUGCCACCCAUGACCGAAGCAUGACAUUAUUGGUUUUCAUGAUUACAAAUGCAACUUGAACGAUGGAUUCAAUGAAUAUGUCAAAUUGCUACUUUACGCAGGACUUAUUGCAUGAAUAAACAAUUGUUUAUUCAUGUCCACAGCCGUCUAUAAAUAGAAGGCUCGAGAGGCAGAAGAUACUUGAGUUUGAAGCUUAGCAUUCACAUGCAAACACUCAAACUCCAACUGCUCUUCUCACCCACAGAAAUCAAGAUUCAUUUGUAUUAGAUAAUAAUCUUACAAUCACCUUGUUAAACUAAUUUGUUUCAAAGUGAUAUAAACUUGAUAAUUCUGUAGGUCUUGUUUCUUGAAAGUCUGAUUUCCAUUUCCGCACAUCUUUUUCACAUAUACUGAAAUCACUUGCCAUAUUACGUAAAAAGAAGUUGUUAAGGCCAUAUUGGGUCCAACAAUUG